GAUGAACGCUUGCUGUGUGGAUAAGGCAUGCAAGUCGAAAGCGAUAUUUAUAUUGCUUGGCGAACGAGGUAGUAACACGUAGGAUAACGCGCCCCAAAGUCAGGGAUAACCUGGAGAAAUCCAGAAUAAUACCUGAUGGACCCUUCUCUGAUUGAGGUAGGGUAAAGAUUUAUCGCUUUGGGAGCGGCCUGCGGGGUAUCAGCUAGUUGGUAGUGUAAUGGACUACCAAGGCUACGACGCCUAGGGGAGGUGAGAGCCUGGCCCCCACCGAUGGGACUGAGACACGGCCCAUACUCCUACGGGAGGCCGCAGUCGAGAAUCUUCCACAAUGGACGAAAGUCUGAUGGAGCGACACAGCGUGGUGGAUGAAGUACAUAAGUAUGUAAACACCUUUUAUGAGUGAAGAAGUUUAUUGACAUUAACUCAUGAAUAAGGAGUAGCUAAUCACG
RNAcentral lists this ribosomal RNA (449 nucleotides) under uncultured bacterium. Its description in RNAcentral is "bacterial SSU rRNA". It matches the Rfam family "Bacterial small subunit ribosomal RNA", at positions 28 to 505 of the family's 1533-position model. The record is from RNAcentral.